This 3621-nucleotide unclassified non-coding RNA is filed under the name Hevea brasiliensis (rubber tree). The record is from RNAcentral. Lineage: Eukaryota; Viridiplantae; Streptophyta; Magnoliopsida; Malpighiales; Euphorbiaceae.
AAACAACGACAAAAAUAUCAUUUAGUUUAGCCACUUGCAAUCCUAGAAAGAUAAUUUUAAUGGUUACAACAUAUUCAACACCAAAAACCAAGAACAGAAUGCAGUUGUUAUCGACAUUUCCUUGUUGAGAACUUCCCUAAUCAACACAAGUAAAUAUGAAUGGAUUUUACACGUUGGAUUAUCAAUAAAUAUGGAAAAAUCCCUCUCCAGUAUCCGACAUCAAAAUCAAACUACAAUAAGAAAGCUACAACAAUACAUAGUAGAAAAUGGUGUUGCACAUACUCCAGACAUAUGAACCACGAAAACUAACUCUCAUACCUCAAGUGACAAAGACUGCACUUCUGCCGCUUUGAUUGUGAUUCACUUUCUCAGUUUAUGCCCUCUUGCCAAACCCAAUAGGACACAAAGGAAUCUCAAAUAGGAUAAAUAACCAUUCAGACUAUGCUGGGAGGAUCCCCCACCCAAUUGCAAACAGCACGUGCCCAACGUGUUCUUACGCAGUCUACCAAAGGCGCAUGUUGAGCAGGCUCAGGUUUUGUCACUUCAGUAUCUUUGCCACUUGAUUCAUUUCCCCCAGAACCAGAGGACACUACCACAUCUGCCAUGAAUUCCUCAGGAGUCCACCUAGGUGGAACUGAAACCCUGAGCUUUGUAAGCCUAGGUCUUUGGACUGGCGUCUCACCUCCUAAGGCCAUGUGGCUGCCGUUUAAAUCAGAUUUUGCAAUACCAUUAAAAUGGUAAAGAUCAAACACCUUUUUACCCAUCAAUCCACUUGAAUCCUUUAGGCCUCCCAAACUCUUAUCCAAAUCCAAAAUGACCUGCCAGAACUCACUCCAUACAAUAAAGCCUGUACCACAGAGGUGAUCAAGUUUCUCAGGAGGAAGUCUGAUGCUGGUUUCCCUGAGGACUUGCUGGAAGCCUUCCACACUAAUAAAGCCACCCCCACCACUCUGGUCUUGUGCAUCAAAAGCUUUCCGAAUCUGAGACUCCCUUUCUUCCAGCUCAUUCUCAUCUUGAACAGUAGUAUCAAGAGCAAAUAGAACUGUAUAGUGGGACUCGCUUCCAACAACCCAUAUUGGCCAUUUAGGGCAUUUUAGAUGUUGACCAACCUUGCAGAAAUUGAGGGAUUCCAAUAGAGUAAGAAAUCCAACUUCCACACUUGUGGAUAUGCCCUUUAGACACAUGCCACCACCUAAAUCCAUUCUACCAUCAAAAACAUUAGGGACAGCCUGCCCACAGAGCAGUAGAUUCACUAUUUCCUGUUCCACGGCAUUCAAAAGAAAAGACAUUAUUUAAAGAAAAUGCCAUUGUUAUAUAGGGAUAUACAAAGGAGAGCUACUAAUUACAAAUUGAAGUAUGAAAGCAUAGAAGGGAGAAAAAGAACACAAAUGCUUAUGUACCUGAGAGGCAUGCCCAAAAGGUGCAGUGACCAGAGGAAGGCUUGGAUCAUCCCUGUCAGCUUGAACACAAUCCUGAAGAGAAGAUGCAUUUUUGCAUGGAUAGGUAACAUAAACAUCCCAUGCAGACGAGUCAAGUUAGUGCUGUCAAUCAAUUAGCCAUUAGAUUGAAUAUAAAUGAAAUUUAUAGAACAGAACAAUUUAUGAAGUUUAUGAAUGGAAUGCACAGAGAAAAAGUGAGUAAAUAACCAUCGAAAAUGAAACACUAGUAUGACAAGCAUGAAUAAUUCAUCUAGCAUCCAUUACUAUUGAUUAAAAACAUCAAUCCUUUAUGCUUAUAAAGCACAAAAGACAUCUGUCAAUGAUCUGUCCAAGUACCAGAUUAACAUAUAUUAGAGUGGACGCCAUCAAAUAAGCCCAGUUAAACGUUAAAGAAAUGGAUUCAAAACUUCCUACCCCAAACCAAAAAUGGAAAAAAGAAAGAACAGAGACAGAGCGAGGGUGAUAGAAAACAAAAACAUGUCAUGCUACACUAAAACCUUUUCUUCAAUUAGAUCAUCAUACUUGUAGCUUAACUCAUAGACAUCGUAGCCAGGUUCAGUUAGUUGACAAAAAGCAUGCUCAUCUCCAGCCUUAGAGCAAUUGCAAAUUAUGAUUAGGCCAUGCUUUCAACAGGAAAAAAUGUGGAUACAUAUAUAAAUGAAAAGGAUGCUUUUAAACCGACUAUGCAUACCAAUCCUCUAGAUAGCAAUGCAGAUAUAAGGAAUAGCAGUGCCCCCAUACGAGAUUGGAAGACGGGAAUCAUCACUUGCAGCCUCUGCAUCGCACUUGCUUGUGAUGUGUAUGUUUCAAUUCUUAGAAUUUUAUGCAAAUCAGAUGCUGACUCAAUCGAAAGAUCCUCAAGCGCUUUUGCAAUGGUCUCAUCCUUAGCCAAGCCCUCAAUAUCACAGCAAAUACCAUUCAAAUUAGCAAUCACAAGCCUCUUAUCACUUCCACAUAGAAACAAUAUUUCACCCAUACUUCUGACCAGGGCUCUUGCUUUUGCAUCUUCACUUAGAGAACUAAAAUUAUUUGAUGCAACAUAUCGACCUUUAGUAAGUCUUCCAGAAUCCAAAUUCUGAGGUAUGUUUGGUACAACUUUGCCCAAUUCAUCAGGAAAGAAAAGAAAAUACUUGAGAACAAAUGCUUGUAUGGUUGCUAAGACGCCACAGGGCCCACCUUCAUGCUGCACUAGGCCCAUAGAUGUUUCUGGAUCAAGGCUAAACCUUAUGCCCUGAUUACUCCAUUGUGCUAGAAUGUCCUUCGAAACAACACUCCCAAACACCAUUGAGAACAACUGAUUUGCCUCAUCGCUGGAUAAUUCUUUUCCCAUGUUGCCCCCCUUGGGGCCUAAAUCCUUAUCUUUUUUAGCAACAUCUGUGCUUUUACAGGGGCUUCUAUCUAUGGCUUUCGAUGGCGAGGCGAUUUUUGCUGCGCGCAUCCGCUUCUCAGCUGCCGCGGCCAUGAGCUCUCGCUGGAGCAGCCGGGACUCUUCCGGCGAAACCACAGGAGCACCGGCAGCGUCCCUUGGCUUGCUACGCUUAGGUUCUGGAGGUGAGUUUUGCAUACUCAUUCUUAGAGCCAUUCUCAGGUCCUCUUCCUCUUGAUCCGCCAUUGAAGAAGAAAUGACAACAGCAGAUCGAAAAGGCAACUAGAAUUUAUCAAAAUAGGGUUUUCCUUAUUUGCAUAUACAGAUCGAUUGAAAAAAUCGUAACGUAUAAUUCCAGUAAAAAUGAUUCGAUUUCAGGACGAGAAGAUAAAAUAAGAUUUUGGGAUCAUAAAAUUAAAACAAAAAACCCAAAUAAAUUAGGGUCUGGAUUUUGAUUGAUCCGCGAAUGAAUUAUCUUUAUGAGCGAGACUAUUUCACUUUGAACAGGAGUAGAAUAAAUCAUAAUGACGGUUUUAACCUCUAGUUUUGAGUUCAGUAGUGAGCAUAUCCGGUGGAAGGUGAGGGUUAUCUGGUAAAUUGAAAAAAGGCGUGCUGAUUGGGUGGGAAGUGCCUUUCUUCAACGACAGACGUGUUUCGCUGUCUGGAGAAUAUUUGCAAAUUUAGGAAGAAGGGAGUAUAUCACAUGUUUUCGAGUAUAUAGUUGGCAAUGUAAGAGUAGUUUAACAACCACUAGACCUUGAGUUUAAAGAUGUACUAUUGCAUUUAUGAAUGAUGAUGAUGGUCGAGCAAAUUGAU